AUUUUGCGUCAAGCAUACAUUAGACUGGCUCAGCUGCUGUGUGAACGAGGGCCGUCUACCGGAAAAGGAAUUAAUCUUUUACCUCAAACACGAUGAAAUAGCAGAGCUUAUAAAAACCCGAUCCGCCAGACUCAUCAACAAAGCAUUUCGGCUAAGAAAGAUGAUGCCAGCCCUGAUGGCACUGGAGUUCCAAGAGCUUAUCACGGGCUAUCCAACGCCGAUCGAAGAUGGUGACACGAUAGACGUUCCUACAAACAGGGAGCUGAAAGGUGAUUCAUUGCUGUCGCGUU
This is a long non-coding RNA of Priapulus caudatus, 290 nucleotides long. RefSeq lists it as uncharacterized. The transcript is spliced from 4 exons. The record is from RefSeq and is a predicted model, not a curated record. NCBI's taxonomy places the organism in Eukaryota, Metazoa, Priapulida, Priapulimorpha, Priapulimorphida, Priapulidae.